Molecule: ribosomal RNA, 475 nt
Filed under: uncultured bacterium
Lineage: Bacteria
Description: bacterial SSU rRNA
Rfam family: Bacterial small subunit ribosomal RNA
Source: RNAcentral
AUUGAACGCUGGCGGAAUGCUUUACACAUGCAAGUCGAGCGGCAGCGCGGGGCAACCUGGCGGCGAGCGGCGAACGGGUGAGUAAUGCAUCGGAACAUGUCCAUGUCGUGGGGGAUAGCCCGGCGAAAGCCGGAUUAAUACCGCAUACGCUCGAGAGAGGAAAGCCGGGGACCGCAAGGCCCGGCGCGAUUGGGUUGGCCGAUGUCCGAUUAGCUAGUUGGUGAGGUAAAGGCUUACCAAGGCGACGAUCGGUAGCUGGUCUGAGAGGACGAUCAGCCACACGGGAACUGAGACACGGUCCCGACUCCUACGGGGGGCAGCAGUGAGGAAUAUUGGGCAAUGGGCGAGAGCCUGACCCAGCAACGCCGCGUGGAGGAAGACGGCCUUCGGUUGUAAACUCCUUUGUACAGGAAGAGAGAGGACGGUACCGUGUCGAAUAAGUACACGGCUAACUACGUGCCAGCAGCCGCGGUAA